UCAAAAGCCGGUGUGACACGUCAAAGUGUAAACCUCUGCAUCAUGCUUAAAUUAAUAAACCAGGGCAUCUUAUGCAAGACACAUGAGCUAAGCCCACCCCACCACUAACUACCAGGAAGGCCUCCACUGCAUUUAUCUUCUGCUACUGCUUCAAAACUACCACAUCCCAAGAGAGCAAUGGGAAAAAGCACCAUGGGAUUUGUUUGCUUUGGAUCUAGUUCAACUCAAAACCACAGAGAUGGCUCCAUAACCAACCUCUGAUCAGAGAUGAUGAAGUCCAGGGCUAGUCAGACUUGGAGGGAGGUCUGAGAAAAACAUGGAUCUGCUCGAAAUAGAGAAAAAGUCAGAGCUGAAAAGCAUGGAAUUCAGUAAUUCUAGCACACACAAUAUUUUGGACACAUUUCCUCAGAUGCUCACGGUUCAAUUCACUAACUACUGCCUCUGGUGCUAUGAGGAGGCCUUACCAAAAUCUUAAGGGAAAAGCACCUGGUGAUUCGGUCAGCUGGGACUCCAACCCACCUCAGUGCACUAAAGAUGGCAACAGAAAUUGAAGUGAGAAUGAGCAGACUUCUUACCCUGAUGCCUUGUGCUUUCCGAGCUAUUCACCAACUCCGCUGACCUGCUGCGAAGACCAAAAGCUGUAGAAGGAUGACUGACA
Long non-coding RNA from Gallus gallus (chicken), 658 nucleotides. NCBI's taxonomy places the organism in Eukaryota, Metazoa, Chordata, Aves, Galliformes, Phasianidae. The record is from Ensembl.